Long non-coding RNA from Andrographis paniculata, 3989 nucleotides. RefSeq lists it as uncharacterized. The record is from RefSeq and is a predicted model, not a curated record. Lineage: Eukaryota; Viridiplantae; Streptophyta; Magnoliopsida; Lamiales; Acanthaceae. The transcript is spliced from 10 exons.
AUUGGUCGAGUCCGGUCCGACUUGGCCGAUCCGGAACUGUUCCGGUUCAACACAAAAAUCCGAUUUUUUACAUAGGGUUUUCAAUCCACACAAAUCUUAUCUAAAACUCAUUCUUAUUCAUUCCAUUACCUAUUAUGUCUCUGUCGCUGGCUUCUGCUCUAUGUUCCUGGCGGUGGACGAAAAAUAAUUGCUCUGGCUUCUGCUCACUGUUCCUGGCGGUGGAUGAAAAAUAAUUGUUGUUGGUGAACAAGAAAAAAACUCAGCUUCGGCAGGUAUAUGAGAUUUGGGAAGGAAGAACUGGAGAUUCACCGUGGAAGAAAGGCUGGAGACUCGCCGUGGAAGAAAGACGUGUGGGCAGCAGCGUAGACAUUCUGUAUCCGGAGAUCUACGAAGUUUGAAUUUUAAAGCAGGAGGAAGCAGUUCGAAUAAAAAAAGAAGUAAAAGAAAUUUUUUCGAAAGCUCUACGAGAAAGACAGGAGGUUUGCAUAAAAAAAAGCUUGAUCCAUUCACAUUUCAAUUGAAGAAUAAGUCUUUGAAAAGUAUGUUUUUAAAAGAUAAUGUGAAAAAGGUGGGUAAGGCAAUUUCGAAUUUUUUUCAUUUUAAUGCUAUACCAUUUCAUGCUGCCGAUAGGGGUUCUUACUAUCAAACAAUGAUUGACACGAUUGCAUCCGCUGGACCUGAAUUUAAAGGGCCUGCUGGUAAGAACAUUUGGAGUGAAUAUUUGAACUAGGAGAUGCAAGAAGUUCUACAAUAUGUUGAUUCUUUAAAGGAGAAAUGGAAAACACAUGGAUGUACAAUUAUGUGUGAUGGUUGGAGUACUCGCACAAAACAUCCAAUCAUAAAUUUUAUGGUGUACUGUGACAGAGAUAUGAUAUAUCACAGUUCGUUCGACUAUAUGAAUAAGGUAAAGACUUCAGACUUUGUCUACACCCUAAUGGACAAGGUUGUGGAUUCAUUAGGGGUUGACAAUAUUGUACAAAUCGUAACUAAUAGUGAAGCUAGUAUGAAGGCUGCUGGGAAAAAACUGAUAAGGAAAAGGAAACAUAUUUUUUUGUCUUCAUGCGCUGCGCAUUGCAUUGAUUUGAUGUUAGAAGACAUCGAAGACAUAUUUUUAGUAAAGGAUACGAUAAAAGAAGCCAGAAGAAUUACAGGAUUUAUAUACAACAGUGAUAAAGUGGUCAAUUUGAUGAAAAUAUAUACGAAUGAUUGAGACCUAUUGCGACCAGGCAUAACAAGAUUUGCAACCGAGUUUGUUGCAAUGGAAAGUCUUCUAAGAUACGCAACUGACUUGAAAAGAAUGUGUACUUCUAGAGAAUGGGUUGAGUACAAUAAUACCUCAAGAAGAAGACAUGAAGCUGGAGAUAUAUCAAACAUGAUUUUGAAUGAAAGAUUUUGGAAACGGGUACGCCGAGUUUGUGGGAUCAUGGAACCUUUGGUGAAGGUUUUAAAAGUAGUUGAUCAAAAUAAAAUAAAACCUACACUACCUAUCAUUUAUGAGGCAAUGGAUAGGAUAAAAAUGGCAAUUAAAACCGCAGUGAAAGAUUUUUAACAAUAUUGGGAUAUCAUCGAUGAAAGAUGGUAUAACUAAUUGCAUCAAGAUUUGCAUGUUGCAGUCUUCAAUACUCUGGCACUUGUGCAUUUGAUUCAUCGGAGGUUUGAAAAGAAGUAAAAGAAGUUAUUAAAAGACUCGAGCCAGAUUUGGAUGUACAAGUAAAGGCUAUGAAUGAGAUAAAUACAUUUGUUAACAAAAUUGGAUAAUUUGGAAGUGCACUUGCUACUAGAGUUGUAGCUACAUCUUUACCAGCUGACUGGUGGAAUAUGUAUGGUGAUGAAGCCCCUAAUUUACGGGAAAUUGCAUUAAAAGUUUUGAGUCAAACAUGCACAUCAUCUGGUUGUGAGCGCAAUUGGAGUACGUGGUCUUUGAUCCAUACUAAACUUCGGAAUAUAUUAGCUAUUGUGAAACUGCAUAAGCUAGUCUAUGUCCACUACAACAUGUGUCUUCGGGUGAAAAAUUUUAUGCAAAGGAUAGACACAGAUGAUUUCUACGACCCGAUUGAUUUGAGUCAUAUUUUUAAUGAAAAUGAUAUUUUAGAUGAAUGGGUCAGAGAAAAUGAAUCUCCACUUAUUCAUGAUAGUGAUUUGAAUUGGUUGGAUGAGGCUAUUGAUAAAAGUGGAGAUGGAAGUGACAGUCAGUGUAAUUGAUCAUGACAACGAUAUGUUUUUAUCUCAGUUUAUAGCCGAUGGAAAAAUGAAGGCCAAAAAGAAAAAAUCAGAAAAAAAAAUAUGAGCAAGAAAAAAAAAACAAUCACAUUGAAAUCUUCAUCUUCAACAACUAACGGUGAAGAUAAGAAUAAUAACAACGAUGAUGAUGAUGAUGGUAGUGGUGGUGGUGGUGGUGGUGGGAGUGGGAGCUAUAGGGAUAGUCGAUACUCAAGUGAUAUGGGAUGGGCUCAAGGAAAUGAAAAUUAUUAUACUACUCAAGACAAUGAUCAUGGAUAUCGUCCUGGGAUAAAAGCUCAAAGAGAUUUUCUAAAUAGUUUAACAGAAUUUUCAAGUGAAGCUGAUACUUCAAAUUUUUAAGUUACUAGGAGAUAUUCUGGAGAUCACGAACAUAUGCAAGACUUGAAUAUAGGUUCUUCCUAUGGAGAUUCUUCCCACAAUUCGAGUAAUAGAUUGGGGAGACAGGAGUGGGACCAACGAAAUUCAUAUCAUCAUCCCUAUUACCCAUGAUACGGUUUAUCUAAUCUACCAAGAUAUCUUCAAGAUUCAGCCAAUCUUCCUAUCUUUGGAUCCAACCAACCGGUUGGAACAUAUUAUGAAGGGAUUACAUCUGGUUCGGGUAGUAUUGAUGAUCGUAGACAGAAUUAUGUUUCAUCAAGCAGAAGCAAUGAUAGUACAGAAUAUCAAGGUUUUGAUGUAUGUGGAAAGGGUUCAUUUAGAGAAUGAUAUUCAUACUAUGGUCGAUCAGGAGAUGGAAAUGGUUUUGAAGCUCCAUGACACUCCACAAGGUAUUGAAUGGGACUGUUAAUUUCAGGGGACAGCCAUGGAAUGAUCUAGAAUGGUGGAAAUUUUGUGUUGGGUUUCAAUGUAACAAUCUUAAGCUUUGGAAUAUUUAUCUAGAUGAAGUCAGUUGCUAUUUUUUUGUUAAAAAAUUUGACACUUAGCAUUCAUGUUGUUGGUCUUUGAUGCAGUGCAUCUUUGAAGGCUUAUGCACAUGAUGAGACUUCAAACAACCUAUACAGAGUCUUUGUUGUAGUUUUUCAUGGGCAUGGAGAUAUUUGCAUUGUUACGUUGGCAUUUAGAUAUUUGCAUUGUUAUGUUUUUUAUAUACUAGAACUUAUGGAGUGUAUGUCGUGUUGUCUAAUAUUUUGUUGUAUACGGUGGAAUUGCAAACAAAAAAUUUUCAUCAGUUUGAGAGGCUAAUUUGAGACAUGCAGCCUCCGUGGUUAUUUUCUUUAAUAUUAUAUAUUUUAAAAAAUAAUUAUGUUUAUGAUUUGAUGAAUUUUAAUUGGUUAUUAUUAUUUUGUUAAAAAUACAAAUUUUUGUAAAAAAAAAUCAUAUGGGCCCAUAUUUGCCUGAGACGCCGCGAGCUAUACUCCGCGACGUAUGUAAAACGAUAAGGGUCGAUCCGCGACAGCGAACCAUCGUCAUAAUCCUUCUUACAUUGGAUCCUCCAUUACAUCCCAUUCUCUCCUCUCCUCUCCUUGCGAGAUUUCUUUCAUUCGUCUUUUUUUAUGUGACCGAAUAAUUCCCUCUCGCGGUUUCCGUUGCCUCUCCGUCGCGUCUUGGACGCCUCGGCCUCGAUCGCCACUGCGUGUUCAGAUCUAUUUUGGCGACAUUGAAGCAAUUAGGAGCGAGCAAGGGCCUUGUUCGACGAAUGUGAUUCAAAAUCUCCCGGGGCAGACGAGAACCAUUAGGGAGCCGUGCGUUCAUGAACUCAAACCUCCGUCGUCCAAAUGCAAAUGCAAGCGCCGGUCCUUCACUCAGAU